RNAcentral lists this ribosomal RNA (463 nucleotides) under uncultured bacterium. RNAcentral describes it as "partial 16S ribosomal RNA". It matches the Rfam family "Bacterial small subunit ribosomal RNA", at positions 28 to 507 of the family's 1533-position model. The record is from RNAcentral.
GAUGAACGCUGACAGAAUGCUUAACACAUGCAAGUCUUUGGCGAAUCUGUGCUUGCACAGGCUAGCCAAGGCGGACGGGUGAGUAACGCGUAAAGAACUUGCCCUGCAGACAGGGAUAACAGACGGAAACGACUGAUAACACCUGAUACAGUUGCCGGCACGCAUGUGCCUGGCAAUGAAAAGAGAUGCUGCAGGAGAGCUUUGCGUCCUAUUAGCUUGUUGGUGAGGUGACGGCUCACCAAGGCGAUGAUAGGUAGCCGGCCUGAGAGGGUGAACGGCCACAAGGGGACUGAGAUACGGCCCUUACUCCUACGGGAGGCGGCAGUGGGGAAUAUUGGACAAUGGGGGCAACCCUGAUCCAGCAAUUCUGUGUGCACGAAGAAGGUUUUCGGAUUGUAAAGUGCUUUCAGCAGGGAAGAAGAAAGUGACGGUACCUGCAGAAGAAGCGACGGCUAAAUACGUG